RNAcentral lists this ribosomal RNA (679 nucleotides) under Vibrio owensii. RNAcentral's name for it is "bacterial SSU rRNA". It matches the Rfam family "Bacterial small subunit ribosomal RNA", at positions 65 to 724 of the family's 1533-position model. The record is from RNAcentral. Lineage: Bacteria; Pseudomonadati; Pseudomonadota; Gammaproteobacteria; Vibrionales; Vibrionaceae.
AGCGGAACGAGUUAUCUGAACCUUCGGGGGACGAUAACGGCGUCGAGCGGCGGACGGGUGAGUAAUGCCUAGGAAAUUGCCCUGAUGUGGGGGAUAACCAUUGGAAACGAUGGCUAAUACCGCAUAAUGCCUACGGGCCAAAGAGGGGGACCUUCGGGCCUCUCGCGUCAGGAUAUGCCUAGGUGGGAUUAGCUAGUUGGUGAGGUAAUGGCUCACCAAGGCGACGAUCCCUAGCUGGUCUGAGAGGAUGAUCAGCCACACUGGAACUGAGACACGGUCCAGACUCCUACGGGAGGCAGCAGUGGGGAAUAUUGCACAAUGGGCGCAAGCCUGAUGCAGCCAUGCCGCGUGUGUGAAGAAGGCCUUCGGGUUGUAAAGCACUUUCAGUCGUGAGGAAGGUGGUGUAGUUAAUAGCUGCAUUACUUGACGUUAGCGACAGAAGAAGCACCGGCUAACUCCGUGCCAGCAGCCGCGGUAAUACGGAGGGUGCGAGCGUUAAUCGGAAUUACUGGGCGUAAAGCGCAUGCAGGUGGUUUGUUAAGUCAGAUGUGAAAGCCCGGGGCUCAACCUCGGAAUAGCAUUUGAAACUGGCAGACUAGAGUACUGUAGAGGGGGGUAGAAUUUCAGGUGUAGCGGUGAAAUGCGUAGAGAUCUGAAGGAAUACCGGUGGCGAAGGCGG